CCCCUUCACGCGUUUGACGUUUGUUGGCAAACAGUUCCGGCGGCUGGGGGCUCCGGGGGUCGGCGGGGUGGUCGCCGCGUGGGCGGGGGCGGGCUGGGGCGCGAGGAACCCGCGGUUGCAGUUUAUGUGAGCAGCGGGGUGUUGGCGCUCCUGGCUGCGCGGCCUGCGGUGGCCUCCCCGGCUGGCGGACGGGCCCGCGGCCCCAGGACGGGAGAGAUGGGGCGGCCAGGGUUUUUGCAAGAUGCCGCGUUGGCCUGGGUGACUGCGGAGCAUCUGCGGAAAGCCCGCUGCUUGUCGGGUGCCCGGGCGCUGGCGGAGGGCUUUCCGGGGGUCCUGGGGCUCCCCCAGCCUCCAGGUGCAGGUGUAGUUCCGUGCGGAUCCUGAGUGCGUAGGUCGGGGGUGGGCCCGAGAGCUGCGCGACCUGCAGACUCCAGGAGACGGUGCCGGUGCUCGGAGCAGCGGUGGAGGCCGGGGACCUCCCCCCCCCCCCCCCCCCCCCGCCAGCGCCCUGGGAAAGCUCGGGAGCCGGACUCCGCAUCUGACGUCGCAGCACGCGAGCUUCACCGCAAGACCCGGCCCCGCGUGAAAAUGUGUGUUGUUUUGCGGUGACACAUUGGGAAGGUUUUUGAAGACGACUUUGCCUCGCAGGAUUGGGCUGCCUCGACUUGUAACUUAGCUUUGGCUCUGGUACCUCGCUGUGUACGUCCUCACUCGUCCUCGGCACAUCCUUGGGGCCGAGGAAGCUCAAUUUACAAGUUGCUUUCAAAUGUAACGAAAUAUUCUUAUGAAUUCUGUUUAGCAACGGUAGCAAUACAUAAUGGUGCAUUUUGUAGACACUUCCAACAUGUAUUGAUUUUGAUGGUUACUGGGUUUUUUGUUUGUAUUUUGUACUCCUUCUUUUGGCAGGGUGAUACGUUAGUUAUUGUACUAAAAACUUGAACAGAAUUUAUGAUAUCAGGCAUUAGGAAGAUGGCUAAGUCCUUUUUUUUUUUUUUUAAGAUUUAAUUUAUUCAUUCAUGAGAGACACAGGCAGAGGGAGAAGCAGGCUCCAUGCAGGGAACCCCAUGUGGGACUCGAUCCUGGGUCUCCUGGGUCACGCCCUGGGCUGAAGGCAGGCGCUAAACCGCUAAGCCACCCGGGCUGCCCUGGCUAAGUCUUUUUUGGUAUAUAAUACCCUUAACCUGGGAAAUUAUUACCUUCUUUUUCAGGAAUGUUGAAGAACAUUUCAGUUCAUGCGAUGUUAAAAUUUUAAAAAUCAAAUACGCAUCAUCAUCCUAAUUUCUAAAACAUGUCUUUUUCGUGUGUGUGUCCAUAAAAACAUCUCUGAGUGGUAAAUAAAAUGAUUUAAAAUUUA
Long non-coding RNA from Canis lupus familiaris (dog), 1354 nucleotides. RefSeq lists it as uncharacterized. The transcript is spliced from 2 exons. The record is from RefSeq and is a predicted model, not a curated record. NCBI's taxonomy places the organism in Eukaryota, Metazoa, Chordata, Mammalia, Carnivora, Canidae.